Molecule: long non-coding RNA, 1069 nt
Organism: Homo sapiens (human)
Lineage: Eukaryota; Metazoa; Chordata; Mammalia; Primates; Hominidae
Product: long intergenic non-protein coding RNA 971
Source: Ensembl
AGACUGCUAGGGAGCGGUGCCCUUUGUGCAUGGGGGCUACAUAAACAGGCAAUGUGCCAGGCGUGACCUGAAAGCUGUGGUUUGCUGAUAUCAAUUCUACCAUUUCCCAGAGAUCACCAUUGGGAAUGAGCUCCAUUUGCCCACAACAGUGAUCGGCUGAUGGCUCCACCCUCUACUUAGUCGCUUCUGUUUCCUGUCCCAUGGAUUCCUCACCCCACACUAAUGCUUCCAGGAACAACUUCUCAAAUAAAUCACUUGCACGUUACUGAUGGAUCCGUCCUAAAUGCCAUCCAUCUCAAGACAGAGGCCCACAGAAGUCAAUGUAUCUUCAAGAUGGGAGUACCUGGAGAUGGCUGUAGAGACCAUGUAGCAGGAAAUGGUGACAGAGAAGAGCUGGGCCUCUGGUACCAACAUGCUUCCCCCCCGUUACAGCUAUGCGGGCUGAUAGUGACGCAAUGUGUGGUUUCAAUACUUCAUAGUGUCUUACUUCACCUCAGUAUAAAGUACUUUGAAAGCAUCAAGGAAAUGGUCCUCAAAAAAGGCUUAUCCAGUCAGGACAUCUGGUGCUGGCUCUGGAAUGAGUGGAUGAAGAUAAGGCCUUCCAGUAUGGAGGUGAUAAAAAUCAGGGAAGACAGGUAAUCACAAUGGAUGACAGACCAGGAUUCCCAGAUAUCUUGGCAUGGCUGGAACAAUGUACAGAUCAAACCAUGUAAAACUUAAUGGGUAUAAACCAACUCUUCACUUUGGUCUAAAAAAGUCCAUUUGCAUGGCUUCUAGUUAAAGGUGGACAGGCUCACUUUAGAAUCCUAUUAUAUACAAAGGAUUUAGGGGGUUUAGUUCACAAUGUGCUAAAGCCAUCUCACAGUGACCAUGGUAUGAGCUGUGUGAUUUGGUUUAAAUAUAAUAGAGAAUGAAGGACAAGGUUGAGGGUGGUGGUUACAGUCCUGCCUGAUUCUGUAGUGCUCAGGUGACCUUUGAAGAAUGAAGAAAGAAGUCAAAACCCCACACUAUUAAGACAUUGGAAGACUGGGAAUGUUUAUUUUCUGAAGAAUAAAAGAUGUAGGAAACA